RNAcentral lists this ribosomal RNA (2152 nucleotides) under Escherichia coli. Its description in RNAcentral is "partial 23S ribosomal RNA". It matches the Rfam family "Bacterial large subunit ribosomal RNA", at positions 1 to 2167 of the family's 2925-position model. Lineage: Bacteria; Pseudomonadati; Pseudomonadota; Gammaproteobacteria; Enterobacterales; Enterobacteriaceae. The record is from RNAcentral.
GGGUUGUGAGGUUAAGCGACUAAGCGUACACGGUGGAUGCCCUGGCAGUCAGAGGCGAUGAAGGACGUGCUAAUCUGCGAUAAGCGUCGGUAAGGUGAUAUGAACCGUUAUAACCGGCGAUUUCCGAAUGGGGAAACCCAGUGUGAUUCGUCACACUAUCAUUAACUGAAUCCAUAGGUUAAUGAGGCGAACCGGGGGAACUGAAACAUCUAAGUACCCCGAGGAAAAGAAAUCAACCGAGAUUCCCCCAGUAGCGGCGAGCGAACGGGGAGCAGCCCAGAGCCUGAAUCAGUGUGUGUGUUAGUGGAAGCGUCUGGAAAGGCGCGCGAUACAGGGUGACAGCCCCGUACACAAAAAUGCACAUGCUGUGAGCUCGAUGAGUAGGGCGGGACACGUGGUAUCCUGUCUGAAUAUGGGGGGACCAUCCUCCAAGGCUAAAUACUCCUGACUGACCGAUAGUGAACCAGUACCGUGAGGGAAAGGCGAAAAGAACCCCGGCGAGGGGAGUGAAAAAGAACCUGAAACCGUGUACGUACAAGCAGUGGGAGCACAGAGCAAUCUGUGUGACUGCGUACCUUUUGUAUAAUGGGUCAGCGACUUAUAUUCUGUAGCAAGGUUAACCGAAUAGGGGAGCCGAAGGGAAACCGAGUCUUAACUGGGCGUUAAGUUGCAGGGUAUAGACCCGAAACCCGGUGAUCUAGCCAUGGGCAGGUUGAAGGUUGGGUAACACUAACUGGAGGACCGAACCGACUAAUGUUGAAAAAUUAGCGGAUGACUUGUGGCUGGGGGUGAAAGGCCAAUCAAACCGGGAGAUAGCUGGUUCUCCCCGAAAGCUAUUUAGGUAGCGCCUCGUGAAUUCAUCUCCGGGGGUAGAGCACUGUUUCGGCAAGGGGGUCAUCCCGACUUACCAACCCGAUGCAAACUGCGAAUACCGGAGAAUGUUAUCACGGGAGACACACGGCGGGUGCUAACGUCCGUCGUGAAGAGGGAAACAACCCAGACCGCCAGCUAAGGUCCCAAAGUCAUGGUUAAGUGGGAAACGAUGUGGGAAGGCCCAGACAGCCAGGAUGUUGGCUUAGAAGCAGCCAUCAUUUAAAGAAAGCGUAAUAGCUCACUGGUCGAGUCGGCCUGCGCGGAAGAUGUAACGGGGCUAAACCAUGCACCGAAGCUGCGGCAGCGACGCUGAUGCGUUGUUGGGUAGGGGAGCGUUCUGUAAGCCUGUGAAGGUGUGCUGUGAGGCAUGCUGGAGGUAUCAGAAGUGCGAAUGCUGACAUAAGUAACGAUAAAGCGGGUGAAAAGCCCGCUCGCCGGAAGACCAAGGGUUCCUGUCCAACGUUAAUCGGGGCAGGGUGAGUCGACCCCUAAGGCGAGGCCGAAAGGCGUAGUCGAUGGGAAACAGGUUAAUAUUCCUGUACUUGGUGUUACUGCGAAGGGGGGACGGAGAAGGCUAUGUUGGCCGGGCGACGGUUGUCCCGGUUUAAGCGUGUAGGCUGGUUUUCCAGGCAAAUCCGGAAAAUCAAGGCUGAGGCGUGAUGACGAGGCACUACGGUGCUGAAGCAACAAAUGCCCUGCUUCCAGGAAAAGCCUCUAAGCAUCAGGUAACAUCAAAUCGUACCCCAAACCGACACAGGUGGUCAGGUAGAGAAUACCAAGGCGCUUGAGAGAACUCGGGUGAAGGAACUAGGCAAAAUGGUGCCGUAACUUCGGGAGAAGGCACGCUGAUAUGUAGGUGAAGUCCCUCGCGGAUGGAGCUGAAAUCAGUCGAAGAUACCAGCUGGCUGCAACUGUUUAUUAAAAACACAGCACUGUGCAAACACGAAAGUGGACGUAUACGGUGUGACGCCUGCCCGGUGCCGGAAGGUUAAUUGAUGGGGUCAGCGCAAGCGAAGCUCUUGAUCGAAGCCCCGGUAAACGGCGGCCGUAACUAUAACGGUCCUAAGGUAGCGAAAUUCCUUGUCGGGUAAGUUCCGACCUGCACGAAUGGCGUAAUGAUGGCCAGGCUGUCUCCACCCGAGACUCAGUGAAAUUGAACUCGCUGUGAAGAUGCAGUGUACCCGCGGCAAGACGGAAAGACCCCGUGAACCUUUACUAUAGCUUGACACUGAACAUUGAGCCUUGAUGUGUAGGAUAGGUGGGAGGCUUUGAAGUGUGG